Molecule: long non-coding RNA, 279 nt
Organism: Dreissena polymorpha
Lineage: Eukaryota; Metazoa; Mollusca; Bivalvia; Myida; Dreissenidae
Exons: 3
Source: RefSeq, a predicted model, not a curated record
ACUCCUGUUCGCCAGAACCCCCGAUCUUGUAUAGGCCUCGGAAGCCUUACACGAGAUACAGCAUGGAGGUACGGGACAAAUUAAAAAUCAUCCAUCCGAACCUUAAUGUAUAUAAGAUGGGAGAGCUCAUUGGCUCCAUGUGGCAGGGGCUGAGCGAGGCUGAGAAACAGGUCUAUAGGGACGACUAUCAGAGGGAGAAGAAUCAGAAUAUUGACAGACUGGGCGAUGAAAACCCAAAUGCACAGAUUCCUAUGUUCUCUGCAUUUUUAAGGUAAUCAA